RNAcentral lists this long non-coding RNA (775 nucleotides) under Serinus canaria (Common canary). RNAcentral describes it as "lncRNA (ENSSCAG00000004425.1)". The record is from RNAcentral. Lineage: Eukaryota; Metazoa; Chordata; Aves; Passeriformes; Fringillidae.
AUGUACCCCCUUGUCCCCACCGUGUCCCUUCAGGCUGCAGUGAUGGACCUGGACCCACACAGUGAGGGGCUCUACAGCCAAGACCCCCCAAGACCACCGUGUGUCCCAGUGUGCCCCCGCCCCAGGGAAGAGGCAGUCUCAGGUGUCCCCAAGAGAGGCAGUGUCCCNNNNNNNNNNNNNNNNNNNNGCAGUGUCCCUGUGUCCUGCCCUGUUGUCCCCUCAGGUCCCCCUCGGGGGAUCCCACAGCUGGAGGUGCUGCUGAGGCAGGUGCACAGCCUGCAGAAAGUCCGUGAGGCCACAGCACAGGAGCUGGUGAAGGCACAGGACUGCAGUGAGGGGUUGAGCCAGCAGCUGGAGCAGCAAUCACUGCAGAGAGCACAGUGGCAAGGGAAGGAGGUGGAGGCCAAAGGUCAGAGGCGCUGUGGGCUCUGUCUGGAGCAGCAGCAGCACCUGGAAGGGACAAAGCAGCAGUGGGAGCAGCUGAAAAACCUGCGCCGGGAACACAGGAGGCAGCACUGCCAGCAGCUCGAGGCCGUCAUGAAGGAGCUCAAGCACCUGCGUGUCACACACGCUCCAGCCCACGUGAAGGCUGAACUGGUGCAGCUGGAGAAGAUGGAGGAGAAGUGGCUGAGCUGGGGUGAGCCCCUGACACCUGAGUGACCCCUCCAGGAUCCCCCUCAAGCACCUGAGUGUCCCUCCUGACACCUGAAUGACCCCUGUGACACCUCUGGGCACCUGAGGGACACCCUUGGACACCUCAGUGCCAACACCUGAG